This 734-nucleotide ribosomal RNA is filed under the name Ammonia sp. genotype T1. RNAcentral describes it as "partial large subunit ribosomal RNA". It matches the Rfam family "Eukaryotic large subunit ribosomal RNA", at positions 40 to 512 of the family's 3401-position model. Lineage: Eukaryota; Foraminifera; Rotaliida; Rotaliidae. The record is from RNAcentral.
AUAUCAGUCAGCGCAGCGUAAUAAUAGAAACUAACCAGGAUUCCCUUAGUAACGGCGAGUGAACUGGGAUACCCAAUAUACCAUCUGUGCGUACCUCGGUGCGUACAAAUUUUAGCCCGUCGAUACUAUCCUAGCAUAGUACUGGCUUCGGCCGGUAACCUAUCUAUGCGCGAAUUGUAGCAUCGUACAAAAAUAUAUUAUACAACGUAUAUAUACGCAACCCACACUUAUAUAUAUUUUUAUGCGUACACUUACUUUCAUAAACACACAGCGCUCUCGCGUUGGAAAGCAAGUUUAUAUCCUUUUGGGGUAUGCCAUAGAGUGUGACAGCCACGUUUCAACUCUACGUACGCACUGCAUAUGCGUUAUAUAUACACACACGUAUUUUAUAUAACCUGAGUCGAGUUACUUGGGACUAUAGCUCUAAUAGUUUGGUUGGUGGUAAUGACACAUCAAAGGCUAAAUAUUGGUUAGUCGAUGCAUAUUGCGGAGACCGAUAGCAUACAAGUACCGUAAGGGAACGAUGAAAAGCACCCUAUUGAGUUCACGGCGCAGACUGUCUUUGCAAUUCGUUGCGAGACGUCUUGCGCCCAACAACUACAGUGGGAGUGAAAGAGAGAGUGAAAUCGCCUAUACAAAUAUAUAUUAUGCGCUGCAUACACACACACAGCUCUGUGUAACAACAGUCUGCGUUAGUACAAUCGGACAGAGUGUCGUAUCACUUAUAUAUAUAA